UAUAGCGGUCAAAGCGACGGGGCAACACCUGUACCCAUCCCGAACACAGUAGUUAAGCCCGUCAACGUUCUACAUUGUACUAUGAUGUGCGAACUCUAGGGAACUGUAGAAAGCUGCUAUGC
This 122-nucleotide ribosomal RNA is filed under the name Candidatus Methanoperedens sp. Lineage: Archaea; Methanobacteriati; Methanobacteriota; Methanomicrobia; Methanosarcinales; Candidatus Methanoperedentaceae. The record is from RNAcentral.